RNAcentral lists this microRNA precursor (122 nucleotides) under Pelobates cultripes (western spadefoot toad). The record is from RNAcentral. Lineage: Eukaryota; Metazoa; Chordata; Amphibia; Anura; Pelobatidae.
AUUGCUUCUGUGAAUAGGUAUCUUUUAUACAGGUAACAAGCUGAGAUUAGGAACACUCUCUUUAAGAGCCUGCUCCUAAUCUCAGUUUGUUACCUGUAUAAAAGACACCUGGGAACCAGAAA